Stegostoma tigrinum is the source of this 2191-nucleotide long non-coding RNA. RefSeq lists it as uncharacterized. The record is from RefSeq and is a predicted model, not a curated record. NCBI's taxonomy places the organism in Eukaryota, Metazoa, Chordata, Chondrichthyes, Orectolobiformes, Stegostomatidae. The transcript has 4 exons.
CGGGGGUGCCGUAGCGAUUUUCUCCACACGAAGCUGUAACAUUCCCUUUAUUCUGUAACAUAUAUAGGGCAGAGCACCAGAUGCCUCGUAUCAUGGGUUUGGUUGCUAGGUAAGUAAGAAUACCAAUCGCAGCACGAGGAGGAGAUCACGGAUACAGGCCAGCGCAGGUACUUGAAAAAGGAGUUACUGAAUUGGAACGAAUAUGUCGCCUGCUGAACUUGUCGAUCAGCUGAUUACUUAUAACAUUCAGGCAAAAGCAGGAAUCCCGAAGGUAGCUUCUUUCAGGUGUACCUAUAGGAUACACAUUGGUCACUGUGGAAAAUUCGCAUUUACGAUAACAGGAUAUAAAAAUGGCGAUUUUAAUGUUAACGCGGAAAAGAAUUCACGACAAAAUAAAUACCAUGAAAAUAUUAAAAAGGCAAAAUCGUUAACGCAGAAGUGUCGAUUUUAUGAUUCUAUGAUACUAUGCGCUAUAAAUUAUUGAUGCACCAGGAUGCCUGAUGUUUGAUUCACGCUGGAUUUUGUUCUCCAGAGAUGCACAACGUGAUAAAUGCAGCAAUUUUCUCCAAUGGGCAGCUUUGAAGAACAUGGCAAUUUCAAGCUGCUGGAUGUUAUUUAGUGUAAUAAGAAAUAAAACGAUCCUAUUUCUGAAAUAACAGUGUCUAUCAUCAGUUGAACUACACUGAAAAGGUAAUUGUUUCCUGAUGAUAGAUCCAUUACAGCCGAUCCUGGCCUAAAAUCAUCCAAUGCACCGUGAAAAUGAAGGACGAAAUCGGUGUUUGCACCUUAAUCACCAGAGUAAGUUUGUGCCUAGACCAAUAGCUGUUUUCCGCACUCAAUCGAGCCAGCCUCUGGCCCUAGUCAUUGAAUUCUCAGUUGCAAAGGCUACAUCACCUCAUUUUAGAUAGUUUUAGUUCCUCCCUACCAACAAUUACAAUCAGAGGGAAACAGUUGAAUUCAGCACUCGGGGACAUUGUAAUUACCUGUUUUAAGAGGACUUAAAAUUGUAGCUAAAUUGUGUGUGUGAUUUAUAAAAAUCAUUUUCGAUGUCGUUUCUCUUUCUAUGAAAUAUUUCUGAGUGUUAAUAUUGGCGUACGACGAUGAAAAAUGCGACAAUGCGUUCAAUAGUUUUAAAACAAUGCAUUUACGCAAGGCAGAACAUCACAGGUUCAAAGUAUGUUAGUCUUAUUAUUAUUUUGACUUGCUGCUGAAGAUCGAUUAUACAUAACAGUGUUGGUCGCGGGUCCAUGGGAAAUAUCGUCAACAGUCCCACAUGGGGACACACAACUUGUUUACAGUACUGUUAGUCACUGGUUUGUUAUACCUGUCGAUCCGGAAUAAUCCAUCAUCACUAGACGAUGUAGAUUAUAAUGUGUUAAUGAUUAACAUCGUUCCAAUGUAAGCAUCAUUAUAUGCGUGAAAAGAAAUGCGAAGGUUUCUGAAAUAACCAAUUAGUAUGUUUUCAUUUAGUUAUUAUCGCUCAUGCUCACAACCUAAUUGUACAAAGACGAGUGGAAGCAAUAUUCCACCACUGGCAUUUCUAUUCUGAUGGGAAGUUAAACAUUUAUCGGGGAAAAAUACAUCCAGUCAAAAAAAUAAUGUAAUAGACAAGGGACGUUUAGAAAGCGAAGCGGCGUCGUGGUAUAGUUUUCAAAAGUGCUCAUUUAUUAGGAGUUUACAAAAGGGAAUCUAAUGCAGGAAAGGCCAAAGGCACUCAGACAGUGGCUGUACCAUACAAUGUAUCCUAUUAACUCAGGUUGUAACUCUUAAAAGAUGGUGGCAGCCGAUGAUUCCGUGUAAGCGCCGUUUUAGCUCUGACAUUAUUUAUAGAGCUGACUAAUAGCGCUAACAGUGGAAACCAGGGCUAAUUAAGCAUCCUCUCGGAUGCUCGCACCAUUUGACCUGUGUUGCUAUCGCUGUCCUGGAGUGUAAAUGGGAAAAGAGAGGACGGGGGUUAACUAACUGAACCGAUCUACAUAAGAAGCUUUGUUUAUAGUUUAUUAAACAUACAGCUUGAAUAGACUAAUCACCUGCAUGUUACAUAUGUUUGACUACCAAUCUGUCAUUAUGAACAACGCUUUCACUUUUAUGUUUUGGGAGAUUCAGAACGCUACAAGAGUUCUAACGCGAAAAACCCAUUCCUCAGUUUGGCAGCUGUUACAGCGGAAACAGUGAGAAAGUAGCAAAUGUU